This 301-nucleotide ribosomal RNA is filed under the name uncultured bacterium. RNAcentral describes it as "partial 16S ribosomal RNA". It matches the Rfam family "Bacterial small subunit ribosomal RNA", at positions 509 to 807 of the family's 1533-position model. The record is from RNAcentral.
CAGCCGCCGCGGUAAUACAGAGGGUGCGAGCGUUAAUCGGAUUUACUGGGCGUAAAGCGUGCGUAGGCGGCUUCUUAAGUCGGAUGUGAAAUCCCUGAGCUUAACUUAGGAAUUGCAUUCGAUACUGGGAAGCUAGAGUAUGGGAGAGGAUGGUAGAAUUCCAGGUGUAGCGGUGAAAUGCGUAGAGAUCUGGAGGAAUACCGAUGGCGAAGGCAGCCAUCUGGCCUAAUACUGACGCUGAGGUACGAAAGCAUGGGGAGCAAACAGGAUUAGAGACCCGAGUAGUCCCUGUCUCUUAUAC